This 553-nucleotide ribosomal RNA is filed under the name uncultured Spiroplasma sp. RNAcentral describes it as "bacterial SSU rRNA". It matches the Rfam family "Bacterial small subunit ribosomal RNA", at positions 9 to 558 of the family's 1533-position model. The record is from RNAcentral. Lineage: Bacteria; Bacillati; Mycoplasmatota; Mollicutes; Entomoplasmatales; Spiroplasmataceae.
GAGUUUGAUCAUGGCUCAGGAUUAACGCUGGCGGCAUGCCUAAUACAUGCAAGUCGAACGGAGUAGCAAUACUUAGUGGCGAACGGGUGAGUAACACGUAUCUAAUCUACCAUUUAGUGGGGAAUAACUGUUGGAAACGACAGCUAAUACCGCAUAAUAUUGCUGGAUAAUUUCCAGUAAUGAAAGGAGCUUUCAAGCUCCGCUGAUUGAUGAGGAUGCGGCGCAUUGGCUAGUUGGUAGGGUAAUGGCCUACCAAGGCAAUGAUGCGUAGCCGAUCUGAGAGGAUGAACGGCCACAUUGGGACUGAGACACGGCCCAAACUUCUACGGAAGGCAGCAGUAGGGAAUUUUUCACAAUGGGCGAAAGCCUGAUGGAGCAAUGCCGCGUGACUGAUGAAGGUCUUCGGAUUGUAAAGGUCUGUUGUAAGGGAAGAAAUGGUAAAAACAGGAAAUGGUUUUAUCUAUGACGGUACCUUACCAGAAAGCCACGGCUAAACUAUGUGCCAGCAGCCGCGGUAAUACAUAGGUGGCAAGCGUUAUCCGGAUUUAUUUGG